This 402-nucleotide ribosomal RNA is filed under the name uncultured bacterium. RNAcentral describes it as "partial 16S ribosomal RNA". It matches the Rfam family "Bacterial small subunit ribosomal RNA", at positions 30 to 526 of the family's 1533-position model. The record is from RNAcentral.
AUUGAACGCUGGCGGCAGGCCUAACACAUGCAAGUCGAGGAGCGGCGGACGGGUGGGUAAUGUAUGGGGACUGCCCGAUAGAGGGGGAUAACUACUGGAAACGGUAGCUAAUACCGCAUACUAUCGGAAAACCCAUAUGGGAUUAGCUAGUAGGUGUGGUAAUGGCUCACCUUGGAGACGAUCCCUAGCUGGGCUGGGAGGAUGAUACGCCACACUGGGACUGAGACACGGCCCAGACUCCUACGGAGGCAGCAGUGGGGAAUAUGGCACAAUGGGCGCAAGCCUGAGGCAGCCAUGCCGCGUGUAUGAGGAAGGCCCUAGGGUUGUAAAGUACUUUCAGUCGGGAGGCGUUACCGACAGAAGAAGCACCGGCUAACUCCGUGCCAGCCGCCGCGGUAAUUC